RNAcentral lists this long non-coding RNA (1451 nucleotides) under Anser brachyrhynchus (Pink-footed goose). RNAcentral describes it as "lncRNA (ENSABRG00000005580.1)". The record is from RNAcentral. Lineage: Eukaryota; Metazoa; Chordata; Aves; Anseriformes; Anatidae.
AUUUUUUUUAAUAACUGAACUUAAAUAUUUGGUUAAAAAAUAUAGGAUGCAGUAGAUACAGUAAAGAAUACUACAGUCCCAAGUAACUUUUAUAAUGACAUCACUGUGAGGAGGAGGUGAAGGACAGGCAGUAGAGGAGGAGGGAGUUUUUCCUGUGAUAAGCAUCUCAGAGGAACAUAGGGAUAUCAUUCAGAAAGGUUGUUUGAACUUCAGUAAUAGAAAUGGGAUUACACUCCAAGUAGUCUACGAUGAAAGGUCAUUUGGAGCCAAUAACAUGCAAUUCUGCUGUAAGUUGUGGGCAUAUUACUUAGAAAUAACUGAGGAGGAGAACAUAUCUCUGUAUUACUGGCCGAUCAAGAAGUAUGAGUUGACAAAAUGGCACAGCUGUGAAAAAGGCAAAUAUGAUCCUAGUAUGCACUCCAGUAGCAGUAGGGAAUUAGUAUUACUUUGGACACCUCAUUUGGAGUAAUUCAUUCAGUUGUGUUUUUAUGCUUGAAAAAAAGGUGAACUCAAGCUGGAACACAUGCAGUUAAAUACUGUUUAGAUGAUGGCAAAGCCCACAUUACAGAGCAGUUUAUAAAACCUUGCCUUGUUUGGUGUAGUAGAGUCAGAGAGAAAAUAAGAUUCCUGCUGAUAAAUACAUUCUGCUGAUACACAAUGAGAGGUAAAGCUAGCCAAAGAACAAAUGUGUAAGUGACUAUGAUUAAAUUUAAGUCUGGAAAUUAGGAGAGGUGUUUUUCUGUUUGCUUGCUUUUGUUUGUUUGUUUAGUUCUUCAAGUUUGAGUCAUUACAUCCUGGGACAAAUUUCCAGCGAAAAUAGUUUGGAUAGAAAAAACAGUCAAGAAGAUACCAAAAUAGUCACAAACCAGAUGAAACCAGCCAACCCCAAAAAAACAUCAAAACCAGCCAACCAACCAACCAAACAAACAAAAUAUCCAGCCUUUGAAGAUACAGUUUGUUAUAUUUGUAAAAAGGACUGUGUGUGGGGCAGCCAGGGAGGCCUGUAUGGGCACAUGCUGCGUGAUCAACACCUGCCCCCCUUACUGCAACGCUUCUGGAGUCAGAUGGUGAAACCCUGUUUCCGUUUAAAUUGUGGGAAGGUGAAAUCAAGAGUGCAGUCACAUUUUCUUCUUUUUGAUGGGAUGGAAGGGCAGAAAGAUGUAGCAAGGCAUGUAAUUCAUGGGUAAAUGCUUGGAAAGCUUGUAAGGCAAAUGGAUUGAAAAGUCAAUGUUGUGGCUAUGAUAAACUGGUGAGAGAAGCUUCCAUGUGGCAUGUGUCAGUAUGACCUUCUCCUUGCCCACUUUCAGCACAAUUGUACUCCAAGGGCUCUAGGGUAUUUGUGGCACCAAACAUCCAGCAUUUCUCUAUGCAAAUUUUCAUACCACUCUGUGCAUUGAAUAAUUUUUUUCUCUAUAAAGCUUGAAGGUCUAUGUUGAGAAUUUACUAAAGCC